UACGAAGGGGGCUAGCGUUGCUCGGAAUCACUGGGCGUAAAGCGCACGUAGGCGGCUUUCUAAGUCAGGGGUGAAAUCCUGGAGCUCAACUCCAGAACUGCCUUUGAUACUGGGAAGCUCGAGUCCGGAAGAGGUGAGUGGAACUCCGAGUGUAGAGGUGAAAUUCGUAGAUAUUCGGAAGAACACCAGUGGCGAAGGCGGCUCACUGGUCCGGUACUGACGCUCAGGUGCGAAAGCGUGGGGAGCAAACAGG
This 253-nucleotide ribosomal RNA is filed under the name uncultured bacterium. Its description in RNAcentral is "partial 16S ribosomal RNA". It matches the Rfam family "Bacterial small subunit ribosomal RNA", at positions 524 to 776 of the family's 1533-position model. The record is from RNAcentral.